Phyllostomus hastatus (greater spear-nosed bat) is the source of this 126-nucleotide small nucleolar RNA. RefSeq annotates it as small nucleolar RNA SNORA11. Lineage: Eukaryota; Metazoa; Chordata; Mammalia; Chiroptera; Phyllostomidae. The transcript has a single exon. The record is from RefSeq and is a predicted model, not a curated record.
GGGGUGUGAUCAGAGCAGGGCGCCGGAGACUGGCUCCUCUGUUUACAGCACGUCCAACAGCAACUCGGGUGUGCUCCUCACAGGGGCCGGGCACCGUGGCUUCCUGUGACGGUACGCCCUACAUGU